RNAcentral lists this ribosomal RNA (253 nucleotides) under uncultured bacterium. Its description in RNAcentral is "partial 16S ribosomal RNA". It matches the Rfam family "Bacterial small subunit ribosomal RNA", at positions 524 to 776 of the family's 1533-position model. The record is from RNAcentral.
UACGGAGGGAGCUAGCGUUGUUCGGAAAUACUGGGCGUAAAGCGCACGUAGGCGGCGCAGCAAGUCAGGGGUGAAAUCCCGGGGCUCAACCCCGGAACUGCCCUUGAAACUGCAGUGCUAGAAUCUUGGAGAGGCGAGUGGAAUUCCGAGUGUAGAGGUGAAAUUCGUAGAUAUUCGGAAGAACACCAGUGGCGAAGGCGACUGACUGGACAAGUAUUGACGCUGAGGUGCGAAAGCGUGGGGAGCAAACAGG